AGAGUUUGAUCCUGGCUCAGAUUGAACGCUGGCGGCAGGCCUAACACAUGCAAGUCGAGCGGUAACAUUUCUAGCUUGCUAGAAGAUGACAAGCGGCGGACGGGUGAGUAAUGCUUGGGAAUAUGCCUUAGGGUGGGGGACAACAGUUGGAAACGACUGCUAAUACCGCAUAACGUCUACGGACCAAAGGGGGCUUCGGCUUUCGCCCUUAGAUUAGCCCAAGUGGGAUUAGCUAGUUGGUGAGGUAAUGGCUCACCAAGGCGACGAUCCCUAGCUGGUUUGAGAGGAUGAUCAGCCACACUGGAACUGAGACACGGUCCAGACCCCUACGGGAGGCAGCAGUGGGGAAUAUUGCACAAUGGGCGCAAGCCUGAUGCAGCCAUGCCGCGUGUGUGAAGAAGGCCUUAGGGUUGUAAAGCACUUUCAGUAAGGAGGAAAGGUUAGUAGUUAAUACCUGCUAGCUGUGACGUUACUUACAGAAGAAGCACCGGCUAACUCCGUGCCAGCAGCCGCGGUAAUACGGAGGGUGCGAGCGUUAAUCGGAAUUACUGGGCGUAAAGCGUACGCAGGCGGUUUGUUAAGCGAGAUGUGAAAGCCCCGGGCUCAACCUGGGAACUGCAUUUCGAACUGGCAAACUAGAGUAUGAUAGAGGGUGGUAGAAUUUCAGGUGUAGCGGUGAAAUGCGUAGAGAUCUGAAGGAAUACCGAUGGCGAAGGCAGCCACCUGGGUCAAUACUGACGCUCAUGUACGAAAGCGUGGGGAGC
Molecule: ribosomal RNA, 764 nt
Filed under: uncultured marine microorganism
Description: bacterial SSU rRNA
Rfam family: Bacterial small subunit ribosomal RNA
Source: RNAcentral